GUCCACGCCCUAAACGAUGACGACUAGAUGUCGGAGGGGUCUGCCUUUCGGUGUCGCAGCUAACGCGUUAAGUCGUCCGCCUUGGGAGUACGGCCGCAAGGUUGAAACUCAAAGGAAUUGACUGGGACCCCGCACAAGCGGUGGAGCAUGUGGUUCAAUUCGAUGCAACGCGAAGAACCUUACCUGGCCUUGACAUCCGCGGAACUCGGCAGAAAUGCCUUGGUGCCUUCGGGAAUCGCGAGACAGGUGCUGCAUGGCUGUCGU
This 264-nucleotide ribosomal RNA is filed under the name uncultured bacterium. RNAcentral's name for it is "partial 16S ribosomal RNA". It matches the Rfam family "Bacterial small subunit ribosomal RNA", at positions 793 to 1055 of the family's 1533-position model. The record is from RNAcentral.